Molecule: long non-coding RNA, 303 nt
Filed under: Aotus nancymaae (Ma's night monkey)
Lineage: Eukaryota; Metazoa; Chordata; Mammalia; Primates; Aotidae
Description: lncRNA (ENSANAG00000039442.1)
Source: RNAcentral
AUGAAAGAUACGGUGUUUAUACAUCUCCCUAGGAAGAGCCAUAGGCCUUGGGCCCCACAAAGCCUCAUUUUUCAAAGUAUGAAUGCAUCUCAUCCAUCUGCUGCUUCACUCCCAGACUCCAGCAAUGAGUGCUUUUGGGAACACACAGAAUACCACCAUUUGGAACUUCAUUACCUUGUGCUAGCUACUGCAGGUACACAAAGACAAAUAGAACAUCUGGCAUUUCCCCUGCUGGUACUCACUCCGUCCUGCUGCCCUGUGAAGAAGGUGCCUGCUUCUCCUUUGCCUUCCACUAUGUCCUAA